RNAcentral lists this ribosomal RNA (1820 nucleotides) under uncultured eukaryote. Its description in RNAcentral is "partial small subunit ribosomal RNA". It matches the Rfam family "Eukaryotic small subunit ribosomal RNA". The record is from RNAcentral.
AACCUGGUUGAUCCUGCCAGUAGCCAUAUGCUUGUCUCAAAGAUUAAGCCAUGCAAGUCUAAGUGUAAGCCUUUACAUGACGAAACUGCAGACGGUUCAUUAAAACAGUUAUGGUCUAUUUGACGAUAUAUUCUAAAUGGAUAACUACUAGUAAAUCAGAGCUAAUACAUGCAUAAAAGCGGGACUUCGGAACUGCUGUAUUUAUUAGAUAAAACACCAACCGCUUCGGCGUUUGAGAUGAAUCAUAGUAACUUAUCGGAUCGCAGCAGCCUUGCGCUGGCGACAUGUCAUUCGAAUUUCUGCCCUAUCAGCUUUCAAUCGUAGGGUAUUGGCCUACGAUGGCUGUGACGGGUCACGGGGUAUUAGGGUACGAUACCGGAAAGGCAGCCUGAGAAACGGCUACCACAUCCAAGGAAGGCAGCAGGCGCGCAAAUUACCCAAUCUCAAUUCGAGGAGGUAGUGACAAGAAAUAACAAUAUACUUCACAAAGUGGAGUAUAAUUGGAAUGAUGUCUUACACUUUUAGUGUUAAAAGACGGGCGGAGGAGCAACUGGAGGGCAAGUCUGGUGCCAGCAGCCGCGGUAAUUCCAGCUCCAGUAGCGUAUGCUAACGUUGUUGCAGUUAAAAAGCUCGUAGUUGGAUUUCUGCAAGAGUUGGACGGCCUGAGCUUCACAGAAGUUUCAUGGAACAGUCACGACUUUUGCAUCCUGUCAUAAACUGCUCUGGUCUUAAUUGAUUGGGGUUUAGGGACUGACACAUUUACUUUGAGAAAAAUAGAGUGUUCAAAGCAGGCAUAUGCCUUGAAUAAAUUAGCAUGGAAUAAUAAGAUAGGACUUUGGUUCUAUUUUGUUGGUUGUUCGAGGACCGAAGUAAUGAUUGAGAGGGAUGGUUGGGGGCAUUAGUAUUCUAAAGCGAGAGGUGAAAUUCGUAGACCUUUGGAAGACUAACUACUGCGAAAGCAUUUGCCAAGGACAUUCCCUUUAAUCAAGAACGAAAGUUGGGGGAUCGAAGACGAUCAGAUACCGUCGUAGUCUCAACUAUAAACUAUACCGGCUAGGGAUUGGUGGGACGUUUAUUUUCGACUCCAGCAGCACCUUAUGGGAAACCAAAGCAUUUGGGUUCCGGGGGGAGUAUGGUCGCAAGGCUGAAACUUAAAGGAAUUGACGGGAGGGCACCACCAGGAGUGGAGCCUGUGGCUUAAUUUGACUCAACACGGGGAAACUUACCAGGUCAGAACUGCGGAAGGAUUUACAGAUUGAUAGCUCUUUAUUGAUUCGUAGGGUGGUGGUGCAUGGCCGUUCUUAGUUGGUGGAGUGAUUUGUCUGGUUAAUUCCGUUAACGAACGAGACCUCAGCCUGCUAAAUAGUUUGGUUCAUCAAUGAUGGACGCAGACUUCUUAGAGGGACUAUUCUGUGUCUAACGAAUGGAAGUUUGAGGCAAUAACAGGUCUGUGAUGCCCUUAGAUGUUCUGGGCCGCACACGGGCUACACUGGUACAAUCAACAAGCUUCAUAACCUGGUCUGAAAAGAUUGGGCAAUCUUUUGAAACUGCCACGUGAUAGGGAUAGGCCAUUGCAAUUGUUGGCCUUGAACGAGGAAUUCCUAGUAAACGCGAUUCACCAAAUCGCAUUGAUUACGUCCCUGCCCUUUGUACACACCGCCCGUCGCUCCUACCGAUUGGAUGAUCUGAUGAAAUUCUCGGAGGGCGACUUUGAAACUGGUUCGCCAGAUGAAAAGCUGCCUGAAGUUACUUAAAUCCGAUCAUCUAGAGGAAGGAGAAGUCGUAACAAGGUUUCCGUAGGUGAACCUGCAGAAGGAUCA